UUUUUUUUUUUUUUUUUUUUUUUUUCUUGC
This 30-nucleotide non-coding RNA is filed under the name Prorocentrum micans. Lineage: Eukaryota; Dinophyceae; Prorocentrales; Prorocentraceae. The record is from RNAcentral.